RNAcentral lists this ribosomal RNA (745 nucleotides) under Salmonella enterica subsp. enterica serovar Infantis. Its description in RNAcentral is "partial 23S ribosomal RNA". It matches the Rfam family "Bacterial large subunit ribosomal RNA", at positions 2186 to 2925 of the family's 2925-position model. Lineage: Bacteria; Pseudomonadati; Pseudomonadota; Gammaproteobacteria; Enterobacterales; Enterobacteriaceae. RNAcentral also lists the same sequence under 1 other name. The record is from RNAcentral.
CCGACCUUGAAAUACCACCCUUUAAUGUUUGAUGUUCUAACGUGGAUCCGUAAUCCGGGUUGCGGACAGUGUCUGGUGGGUAGUUUGACUGGGGCGGUCUCCUCCUAAAGAGUAACGGAGGAGCACGAAGGUUGGCUAAUCCUGGUCGGACAUCAGGAGGUUAGUGCAAUGGCAUAAGCCAGCUUGACUGCGAGCGUGACGGCGCGAGCAGGUGCGAAAGCAGGUCAUAGUGAUCCGGUGGUUCUGAAUGGAAGGGCCAUCGCUCAACGGAUAAAAGGUACUCCGGGGAUAACAGGCUGAUACCGCCCAAGAGUUCAUAUCGACGGCGGUGUUUGGCACCUCGAUGUCGGCUCAUCACAUCCUGGGGCUGAAGUAGGUCCCAAGGGUAUGGCUGUUCGCCAUUUAAAGUGGUACGCGAGCUGGGUUUAGAACGUCGUGAGACAGUUCGGUCCCUAUCUGCCGUGGGCGCUGGAGAACUGAGGGGGGCUGCUCCUAGUACGAGAGGACCGGAGUGGACGCAUCACUGGUGUUCGGGUUGUCAUGCCAAUGGCACUGCCCGGUAGCUAAAUGCGGAAGAGAUAAGUGCUGAAAGCAUCUAAGCACGAAACUUGCCCCGAGAUGAGUUCUCCCUGAGACUUAGAGUCUCCUGAAGGAACGUUGAAGACGACGACGUUGAUAGGCCGGGUGUGUAAGCGCAGCGAUGCGUUGAGCUAACCGGUACUAAUGAACCGUGAGGCUUAACCUU